This is a non-coding RNA of Dermatophagoides farinae (American house dust mite), 1173 nucleotides long. NCBI's taxonomy places the organism in Eukaryota, Metazoa, Arthropoda, Arachnida, Sarcoptiformes, Pyroglyphidae. The record is from RefSeq and is a predicted model, not a curated record.
GAACACUAACACACACAACUCGACAACAAAUAAAAAUCCGAUUUUCACAAACGAUCCCACGACAUAUUUAUUAUUAAAUAUUGUUCGUUUUGCAUUCAAUUGAUUCUCACUACAACAAUGGUUCAUCAUUAUUAUCAAUUUGUAGAAACCAUAAAGGUGAUAGUCCAAUUGUAUCAGUAAAAAAGAUGAAUAGCUGUUCGCUAUUUUUAGGGAUUGGUAAUCUUUUGGUUUUGUUUCCAUUAUUACGUUAUUUUGCCUAUUUUCAAUCAUGCAACAUUCUCUUAUUGUAACAUUGAAGAAAUCUUUUCCAAACGUUUUGCGGUUCUGUCUCUGUGCAUUUUUAGUUUAUGGAGGAUUUUGUUUUUGUGGUUGGGUCGUUUUUGGUCCUCAUCAUCUCAAAUUUCGUACGCUUAGUUCAACAUUGGAAUGUUUGUUUUCACUUAUAAACGGUGAUGAUAUGUUUGCUACAUUUUUUUCCACUUAUGUGAAAAAAGUCUUAUAUGGUGGUUUAGUCGCAUUUAUCUUUAUCUUUUCAUUUCAUUGUCCAUAUAUGUGAUAGUCUCGUUGUUCAUUGCCAUAAUACUCGAUGCAUACGAACGGUUCCUAUUUUUUUUUAAUAACAUGAAAACUUUUUUUAAUUUUUAUUUAAGAAAUUUUUAUUUAUGAUUGAAAUUUUUGAAAACAAAAUUUUAAAAAUACUUGCGCAUUCACUGUCUGAUCAGACAAUUUGCAUCUUAUUUCUUAAAGAUCAAUGUCAUUGGAGACAGUGAAGCGCAAAUGAUGGUUUUAACAGCAAUUGGUUCAAAAAAUACUUAAAACAAUAAUGUGCAACAAUUGAUUGAUAAUAUAUAAUCAUAAAAUUUGAAUUAGUAAUUAAAAAUGGGAAAUAAAAAGAAAAGUAUCACAUAUUUUGUUGUGUAUGUCAGGGAAUUUUAUGAAAACCAUAACAAUCCCACAGAUCGAAAUCCGAAUGAUCGAGCAUCAAAGGAUGCGACAAACAUUCAUAAACAUGUAAAUGUAAAUAUAAUUUGUUAGAAUUACAUUUGUUCUUUAAGUGUAUCGAGCAAUAUUAAUAUUGCUCGAUACACUUCUGGUAGAUAAAUUUUAUGUUUAUGUUGUAUUAUUUGUUAUUGUAAUACAAUUUGUUGUAAUAAAAUUGUUAUAUUGUGGUUA